Molecule: ribosomal RNA, 1319 nt
Filed under: uncultured bacterium
Lineage: Bacteria
Description: bacterial SSU rRNA
Rfam family: Bacterial small subunit ribosomal RNA
Source: RNAcentral
GAACGUACGCUGGCGGCACGCCUAACACAUGCAAGUCGAACGAAGUAGCAAUACUUAGUGGCAGACGGGUGAGUAACAUGUAGGUAUCUGCCCUUUGGCCUGGAAUAACACGAGGAAACUUGUGCUAAUACCGGAUAAGUCUUUACGGAGAAAGCUUUAUGCACCAUUGGAUGAGCCUGCACUUGAUUAGUUUGUUGGUGGGGUAAUGGCCUACCAAGACUGUGAUCAAUAGCUGAUUUGAGAGGAUGAUCAGCCACAUUGGGACUGAGACACGGCCCAAACUCCUACGGGAGGCAGCAGUGGGGAAUCUUGCACAAUGGAGGAAACUCUGAUGCAGCGAUGCCGCGUGAGUGAAGAAGGCCCUUGGGUUGUAAAGCUCUUUCGUCGGGGAAGAAAAUGACUGUACCCGAAUAAGAAGGUCCGGCUAACUUCGUGCCAGCAGCCGCGGUAAUACGAAGGGACCUAGCGUAGUUCGGAAUUACUGGGCUUAAAGAGUUCGUAGGUGGUUGAAAAAGUUAGUGGUGAAAUCCCAGAGCUUAACUCUGGAACUGCCAUUAAAACUUUUCAGCUAGAGUAUGAUAGAGGAAAGCAGAAUUUCUAGUGUAGAGGUGAAAUUCGUAGAUAUUAGAAAGAAUACCAAUUGCGAAGGCAGCUUUCUGGAUCAUUACUGACACUGAGGAACGAAAGCAUGGGUAGCGAAGAGGAUUAGAUACCCUCGUAGUCCAUGCCGUAAACGAUGUGUGUUAGACGUUGGAAAUUUAUUUUCAGUGUCGCAGGGAAACCGAUAAACACACCGCCUGGGGAGUACGACCGCAAGGUUAAAACUCAAAUGAAUUGACGGGGACCCGCACAAGUAGUGGAGCAUGUGGUUUAAUUCGAAGAUACGCGCAGAACCUUACCAACACUUGACAUGUUCGUCGCGACUCUAAGAGAUUAGAGUUUUCGGUUCGGCCGGACGAAACACAGGUGCUGCAUGGCUGUCGUCAGCUCGUGUCGUGAGAUGUUGGGUUAAGUCCCGCAACGAGCGCAACCCUCACUUUUAGUUGCCAUCAUUAAGUUGGGCACUCUGAAAGAACUGCCAGUGAUAAGCUGGAGGAAGGUGGGGAUGACGUCAAGUCCUCAUGGCCCUUACGUGUUGGGCUACACACGUGCUACAAUGGUAUCUACAACAGGAAGCAAGACUGCGAAGUUAAGCAAAUCCCUAAAAGAUACCUCAGUUCGGAUUGCACUCUGCAACUCGAGUGCAUGAAGCUGGAAUUACUAGUAAUCGUGGAUCAGCGUGCCACGGUGAAUGCGUUCCCGGGUCUUGCACUCACCGC